CAAGAGCCCCGAAAGGGCCUUCGAAC
Molecule: ribosomal RNA, 26 nt
Filed under: Coprosma pseudocuneata
Lineage: Eukaryota; Viridiplantae; Streptophyta; Magnoliopsida; Gentianales; Rubiaceae
Description: partial 26S ribosomal RNA
Source: RNAcentral